GGCCGCCGCCGCCGCCGCCGCCCAGCGCACACGGCAAGGCCCCGCUGCAGGCCCCUCCCCCGCGCCUCGCCGCCCUCACCCCGACUCCACGCGCCGCUCUAGCUCGACUGGAAGGUCCUCUGCUCCCACAGCACACAGGUUCUCCCUCAGAGGAGCAGCAUGGAGGGAAGAUAAUCAACAUGGCUGGUUUUCCAUCUGGCACAUAAACCAGCAGUGGCUGUGGGCAUGUGAGUAUUUGCUGGGCGUUGACCUGCUCAUUUUCUCAUAAAUGGGUUUUUAGAAAUUCUGAGAUGUGCACUCCCAAAAUUAAGAUCAAUUCUAUUGAUGGUUCGUGUGUGUGUGUGUGAAAGAGCAAACUUCUCUGUCUGAAAUUGGUUGCAAUUGGUGAUAGAUUAUAGUACAUGUGGGCAAAGCAUCUUGAAAUAACAUUUCCUUCUAAUUAUUGACUUACUUGAACCUUGUCUGAAAAGGAAAAAAAUAGAAAAUACAGGACUUAGAUUGAAUAUUAAGUACAAACAUAUAACUCAAAUCCCUUAAACUGUUAAGAUUUAAUUUUUUCAUAUUUUAUGUUUAAUUAUUUUGCCAUACUAGGACUUGAACUCAGGGUAUACACCUUGAGCUACUCCACCUUGAGCCACUCCACCAGUCCUUUUUUGUGAUGGGCUUUUUUGAGAUAGGGUCUCAUGGAACUGUUUGCCUGGGGCUGGCUUCAAACUGCAAUCCUCCUGAUCUCAGCCUCCUGAGUAGCUAGGAUUACAGGUGUGAGCCACCAGCACCCAACUUAUGUUUAUUACUUGGAAAUAACAGCAUUAGGGUGUCAGAGCUUGCAAAAAUACAGGAUGCCAGUUAAAAAUAUUUUAACAGACUUUAUAUUUU
This 876-nucleotide long non-coding RNA is filed under the name Castor canadensis (American beaver). RNAcentral describes it as "lncRNA (ENSCCNG00000004741.1)". The record is from RNAcentral. Lineage: Eukaryota; Metazoa; Chordata; Mammalia; Rodentia; Castoridae.